AUGGCUCAUCUCACUCAACUCUUGAAGACAGCGUGUGUACCAGGAAAGGAGAAUGGCAGAAAUGCAAGUUGUGACUACUUGGAGUGGUGCUCUGUGUGCUUCCUUCUUCCCUUCCUGGGACGCCGCUCUCCCGCUGCUCUAACGCCAUGGAUUGACAAAUUUGGACGUACUGGACUGGCACAAGAGCACAUUUUGGUUCCAUUUUUACAGGUAAGUAAAGAAUUCACCCAUGCUGAUGCUUGUUCAGUUGAGACAAUCUGCUCCCUGGCUGCUACUGGAACGAGAUGUGUGAUGGUUCAUCUCACUCAGCUCUUCAAGACAGCGUGUGUACAAGGGAAGGAGAAGGGCAGAAAUGCAAGGGUGACUGCUUGGAGUGGUGCUUUGUGUGCUUCCUUCUUCACUUCCCGGGACGCCGCUCUCCCGCUUCUCUGA
RNAcentral lists this ribosomal RNA (432 nucleotides) under Triticum aestivum (bread wheat). RNAcentral's name for it is "partial small subunit ribosomal RNA". The record is from RNAcentral. Lineage: Eukaryota; Viridiplantae; Streptophyta; Magnoliopsida; Poales; Poaceae.